RNAcentral lists this long non-coding RNA (3686 nucleotides) under Sus scrofa (pig). RNAcentral describes it as "lncRNA (ENSSSCG00000061003.1)". The record is from RNAcentral. Lineage: Eukaryota; Metazoa; Chordata; Mammalia; Artiodactyla; Suidae.
GUGGGAUUUAUCCCAGGAAUGCAAGGAUUUUUCAGUAUCUGCAAAUUUAUCCUCAUGAUACACUACAUUAGCAAACUGAAGAACAAAAGUCAUAUGAUCAUCUCAAUAGACAAAGAAAAAGAUUUUGAUGAAAUUCAACAUCCAUUUAUGAUAAAAAUUCUUCAGAAAGUGGGUACAGAGGGAACAUGCUUCAACAUAAUAAAUGCUAUAUAUGACAAACCUACAGCUACCAUUACACUGUACAGUGAAAAGCUGAAAGCAUUUCCUCUCUGAUUGGGAACAAAACAAGGAUGCCUACUCACCGCUUUUAUUCAACAUAUUUUUGGAAAUCCUAGUCACAGUAAUUAGACAAGAGAAAGAAAUAGAAGGCAUCCAAAUUGGAAAUGAAUAAGUAAAACUGUCACUGUUUGCAAAUGACAUGAUACCAUAAAAUCCUAAAGGUGACACCAAAAGACAGCUGGAGCUCAUUAAUGAAUUUGGUAAAGCUGCAGGAUAUAAAAAUCAGUGUACAGAAAUCUGUUGCAUUUCUAUCAGAAUGAAAAAUUUUGGAAACAAUCCCAUUUACAAUUAUAUCAAAAAGAUUCAAAUACCUAAGAAUAAACCUACCUAGCAAGGUAAAAGACCUAUAAUAGGAAAACUAUAAAACAAUAGUGAAAGAAGUUUAAAACAACACAAAUAGGUGGAAAGAUAAGCUGUGUUCAUGGAUUAGAAGCAUUAAUAUUAUUGAAAUAACCACACUAUCCAAGACCAUCUACAGUUUCAAUGCAAUCCCAAUCAAAAUGCUAUGGGCAUUUUUCAUAGAACUAGAACAAAUACUUUAAAAAAUUUUAUGUAAACACAAAAGAUCCUGAAUAGUCAACACAAUCUUGAGAAAGAACAGAGCUGAAGAAUCAUGCUGAUUUCAGACUAUACUGCAAAGUUAUACUUAUCAAAACAAUGUAGUACUGGCAUAUAAACAGACAAGUAGAUCCAUGGAACAGAACAGAGGGCCUAGAAAUAAACAUAUGCCCUUAUGUUCAAUUAAUCUACGGCAAAGGAGGCAAGAAUAUACAGUGGAGAAGAGACAGUCUUCUCUUAAGUGAUGCUUGGAAAACUGGGCAGCUACUAGCUACAUGUAAAAGACACUAGUACAUUCUCUAAUAACCAACACAAAAGUAAACUCAAAAUGGCUUAAAGACUUCUAGGUGUUAGACCAGAAACCACAGAACUCCUAGAUGAAAAUACAGGCAAAACACUCUUUGACAUAAAUUGUAGCAAUGUAUUUUUUUUUUUGCAUCUGUCUCCCAAGGCAAAAAAAUAUAGAGUUAGGUACAAACUACUAUGUAUAAAAUAAAUAAGCUAUAAGGACAUAUUAUAUAGCACAGAAUAUAUCCACUAUUUUAUAAUAACUUUAAAUGGAGUAUUAUCUAUAAAAAUUGAGAAUCAUUUUGCUGUACACCUGAAACAUAGUAUUGUACACUAACCAUUCUUCAAUUUAAAAAAAUGUACAGGGUUUUUGGUUUGGUUUUACUUCCAAAAAUUGACACAUGAAUUCCCUGCUGCAAAUACUCUGCACAUGUAGAUGCUUUAAUAAGUACAGUUCUUUGAUCUGGGCAUCCCAACUCCAGCGGGCAUCUUUGUUCCUUUUGAAAGCAGAGGCAGUGUUUCUCUUUACAUUGAAUUAUAAGUAACCACAAGGUGGCAUUCCUUCAGAACACAGUAUUGUCCCUACAUUUUGGCACCUACAUCUUGAAGACUUGAUACAGCUUGAAUUAACAAAUCAAUUCAUUUCUUUAUUGCUGUCCCUUUGGACAUUUUACUUAACUUCACAGAAGUUCUUCGUGUUCAGAUACUUAAGCAUCAACAUUUUAUUGCUAUUUAGGAUUUAUUUGCUGGAUUUAAGAUUUUGUAGCCAAGUCCCCCACUCCCUUUCCCACUCCAAAUAAUGUUUCUCUAUGCCUAAAGUAUUUGAAAGGCCAUUUUUAAUCCCACCUCCUAGAAAAUAACUCUUAGUUUAUGCACAAAAUAUAUAACAAACCCUUGUGGUUUAGAGCUCAGUUUUAGAAGACAGACAGACUGGACUGAAAAUUCAGCACUGCUCUCACAAAAUAUGUGACCUUGUGCAAGCUACUUGACCUCUCCAGUUCCUUCACUUCACCUCAUUUACAUUAAAUGAGAUAAUGCUUAUAAAAUGGUAUAGGGCCUGGCACAUGCAUGUUAGGUGCCCAAUACAUAAUAACUGCACUUAUUAUCAGUUAUAGCUAACAUAGGAGUUUAAAAACAUGUUCCUCAAAGCCCUCAUUAGUACCUAAAAUAUCUUCUUUAUAAUAGCUCUUAGGUUUAAGACAUAGCUUCUUAAAAAAAAAUCACUGAAUAAUAAUACUGUGUGCAGUUUAACUUGUUAGAACAGCUGAUUUUACUUCACUUUUGAACAUGGCCACAAAGGAAUAACAAAAAUAGAGAAAUAUUUGGAUACAAAGAUGAGGGUGAAGGCUAUAGAAAGUCAAGAACAGAGAUUGAAGAUGGAAGAGAAUAAGACUUGGAGGCAAUGUGGCAACUGAAUUCUGGAAAAUCAGCAAGACCAGGAUGUCUGGAGUGCAGACUUAUUUCCCUUAGUGUUUUCUACUCCCUCUACCUCUCUUAAAAUCGAAAUAGUAUUGCCUAAUCCAAAAUACUCUCUAAUGAAACACAGGAGACCUGAUAUUUCUAGGUUACAGUAAAAUUUGGUAUACUGAUGACAAUAAUCACUUUAAAUCUUAACAAUAUAAAUAAAUAUGUAUAUAUCAUUAUGUUAAAGUUAAUUAUCCACCAAGUCCCCAUAAAGAAUAAAAUUUGAAUAAUAUGGUUAGAAAAAAAAAUAAAAAUACCUAAUUUUGGCUCAGUCACAUACCUAAUUUAGGGAUGGUGAAACUGAGCUUCAGUCAUCUCUCACCAUAAAAAGUGAAUAGCAUAGUUUUUUCCUUGCAGGGUUUUUAUGAAACCAUGCAUAUGAAACACAAACUGUCCAUGAAAAUAUAAAAUGCAGUGCAUGACAUAUUGUGAUUGUUCAACAAAUACCAUUUUCCAUCUAUCUGAUUUUAAAUUCCAUAUUGUUCUUGCUACCCCCAUGGGGAGAUGCACCAUUAUGGCCAUCAUUUAUAAUUCUAAGUUGAGAAAAGACCUGGUCCUCUUGUAUCCUCAUCUACAUCCUGGACUUCUCUCUUUUUAUAUAUCUAUCCAUCUAUCCAUUCUACUCAUUUAUAUUUGGAUUAAUUUUGCUGUUUACAAACCUGUGUUACAUUUUUCUUGGGGGGGGUGUCAAAAUACUAUUUCCAAAAAGUGGUUAUGAGCAUGUAAAGAUUAUAACCUUCAAAAUCUUGGACUUUCAAUGACUAACAAUUUUAAGCUGAUAAUACCUGCUACUGCUCCCUAUACAAAGCUCGCCCUUCCUGAAAAUGUCAGAAGAAACAGACACCCCACCAAUGGCUAUUUCCUGCUUUUUACAUUUAUUAAGAAACAUCACCCAACUAGAGAGGGAUGUGUAAUAUGUAGGGCAUGUUAGACUGUAAUAGCAGAUGCCUAAAUUUCAAUAGUAAUACAAUAGACAUGCCUGGAUAAGUAUUCAGGUGAGGAGAAAAAUUCUACUCCAAGUAUUCAUCAAGGGACCAGGGUCCUUCUACCUUGUCUUUUCACCAUCCCAUAGAGCCAUGUCAUAAUAAAUAUCCAGC